RNAcentral lists this ribosomal RNA (469 nucleotides) under uncultured bacterium. Its description in RNAcentral is "partial 16S ribosomal RNA". It matches the Rfam family "Bacterial small subunit ribosomal RNA", at positions 28 to 507 of the family's 1533-position model. The record is from RNAcentral.
GACGAACGCUGGCGGCGUGCUUAACACAUGCAAGUCGAACGGUGAAGCGAGUGCUUGCACUCGUGGAUCAGUGGCGAACGGGUGAGUAACACGUGAGUAACCUGCCCAUCACUCUGGGAUAAGCACUGGAAACGGUGUCUAAUACUGGAUACGACCAACCCUUGCAUGGGGUGUUGGUGGAAAGAUUUCUCGGUGAUGGAUGGACUCGCGGCCUAUCAGCUUGUUGGCGGGGUAAUGGCCCACCAAGGCGACGACGGGUAGCCGGCCUGAGAGGGUGACCGGCCACACUGGGACUGAGACACGGCCCAGACUCCUACGGGAGGCAGCAGUGGGGAAUAUUGCACAAUGGGCGAAAGCCUGAUGCAGCGACGCCGCGUGAGGGAUGACGGCCUUCGGGUUGUAAACCUCUUUCAGCAGGGAAGAAGCGAAAGUGACGGUACCUGCAGAAGAAGCACCGGCUAACUACGUG